UGGGGAAUAUUGGACAAUUGGCGAAAGCCUGAUCCAGCAAUGCCGCGUGAGUGAUGAAGGCCUUAGGGUUGUAAAGCUCUUUUACCAGGGAUGAUAAUGACAGUACCUGGAGAAUAAGCUCCGGCUAACUCCGUGCCAGCAGCCGCGGUAAUACGGAGGGAGCUAGCGUUGUUCGGAAUUACUGGGCGUAAAGCGUACGUAGGCGGUUAUUCAAGUCAGAGGUGAAAGCCCGGGGCUCAACCCCGGAACGGCCUUUGAAACUAGAUAGCUAGAAUCUUGGAGAGGUCAGUGGAAUUCCGAGUGUAGAGGUGAAAUUCGUAGAUAUUCGGAAGAACACCAGUGGCGAAGGCGACUGACUGGACAAGUAUUGACGCUGAGGUACGAAAGCGUGGGGAGCAAACAGGAUUAGAUACCCACGUAGUCCCUGAGCGGGCUGGCAAGGCGCAU
This 447-nucleotide ribosomal RNA is filed under the name uncultured bacterium. RNAcentral's name for it is "bacterial SSU rRNA". It matches the Rfam family "Bacterial small subunit ribosomal RNA", at positions 355 to 825 of the family's 1533-position model. The record is from RNAcentral.